AGUGACUCGCGUGGCUGCCUGCGGCAUCGGAUUCUGCCGCUGCUGCCGCCGCUGUCGGCCAAGCCUGGCGCGCGCAACAAACGCGACCUUGGAGCGCCAACAUCCGCUCGCAACACGAGGUCCCCCAGCAGGCAGGUUCCUUUCGCCGCGCGAUCAUCGCUUCCUUCGCGGCGAGAGCAGCUGCUAACUGCAGCCGAUGAUGGCCGUACACUCUGUGCCAUCUGCCAACUUUGAUAGGUCAACGGGCGCCGAGAAAGAGGAGAGGAAUAACGAUAGAGCCGUGCGAAUGGCCUGAAACGCCAUUGGAGCAGUUACGAAGGCGCAAGUACUUUGGAACACGCAAGACUAGCGAAGAUCGGGACACUUCGCUGCACUGUGGCGCAGCGGGCGAGCAGCGAUGCCACCAUUCUCCGCUGAUGUGUGCGGACGGGUACCGUCGCGAGAGUGUGCUGUCGAAAGGACGGAAGCUGUCAUUGGCAACGAGAUGGCUAUGACGUGCAAGAAGCUGUUUUUCGAAGAGACAGCGCUUGUGACCUUUCGGCGAAGUGCCAAGCACCGCACGACGUAAACUUACAGAGCGCCAACCCAUGUGCAUUGGUGGAAAGCAAGGCCAAAGGGAGUCAACUAUGCUCUGGACUAUUUUUUUUUUUUUUUCAGUUAUUAAAGACAUUUUUGAUUGUGGC
This is a long non-coding RNA of Rhipicephalus sanguineus (brown dog tick), 683 nucleotides long. RefSeq lists it as uncharacterized. The transcript is spliced from 3 exons. The record is from RefSeq and is a predicted model, not a curated record. Lineage: Eukaryota; Metazoa; Arthropoda; Arachnida; Ixodida; Ixodidae.